Pecten maximus is the source of this 5439-nucleotide long non-coding RNA. RefSeq lists it as uncharacterized. The record is from RefSeq and is a predicted model, not a curated record. NCBI's taxonomy places the organism in Eukaryota, Metazoa, Mollusca, Bivalvia, Pectinida, Pectinidae. The transcript is spliced from 2 exons.
AUGAAUGCCAACUGGACAGAGGCAAAUUCAACAUGAAGCGCUAGCGCGCUUCAUGGAAUUUGCCUCUGUCCAGCUGAAAGCCGUUCAAUGCUUAAAUAAAACCAACUAUCCCUGAAGAAUGAUCAAAUGUCCUGGUUACAGCUACUGAAUCAAAUAUAUGAUAGAUGUGAUUAAAAUAUCUUUAUAGCAAAUAUUUGACAAAAAAAGGUGUCUGAUUUCUUUUUGUUAUAUGGUAUCUACAGUUUGUAAUAAAUCACAUUACUCUAUAAAACCUCAUCAGUAAACAUGUAAAAUAUCUGCACCAAACAUAGUACACAACACAAUAUCUCUAGAUGGUUUAUUUCUCAAAUCUAAUACUCAGUAAGGUGUACUGGUGCACUUUAAAACACUUAUAUUACAAUCUGAAUUAUUGUUGAAAUCUGAAUUAUUGUUAAACAGUAAGAACAUUUGGCAUGUUUAUGUAUUGUUAUAGGGUAAACUUGGCAAAGUGACAACAUAACUGUAAGCUUGGCCAAGAAAUAGUUAGUGUGACACUGUACAGUGUCUGAUGCUCAGGCUAUUUAGUGGAACAAUAUUUAGCAUGACAAGUUGAUAUUUAGUAUUGCAGUGUACACAGUCAAGCUAUUUAGGUUAGCAAAUAAGUUGGAGCAGUAAUACGUUGUAGCAUGAUUAUUUAAGCUAUAUAUUUACUGUAACAGUGUAUACUAUUAAUGUACUCUAAUUAAGGUCAAGCUAUUUAGUUUAUCAAAACAGUAUUACAUGUAACAUGACCAAGUUACGGUUACUGUGUUUACCAAGUCAAGCUACAUUUAGGAACAAAAUAUUAACAUGACCUAGAAAAAAGAUACAUUUACAUGUAAUAUAAUGUUAAAUGCAGAACAAUAUCAAAAUGACAGAGUUAUAUUUUGUUUACAACUCAGUAAAUCAUGCUUUGAUCGAAGAAAUAUGAAUGUGACUGUUUAUUUGGCAUUAUUGUGUACACUGAGUUUGACAACUAUUUAGUGGAACAAUAUCAACAAGACCAAUUUAUAUUUAGCAUAGCAAUGUACACUCACUCAAACUUUUUGAUAGAACAUUUAUAUAUAUGUCGUUAUUACUACUUGACAAUUAUAUAUACAUGUAUAAGUUAUACCUCACAUAAUGGUGUACGUUUACUGAGUCCAGCUAUUUAGUUGACCGAUAAAUUAGGAGUCCAGCUAUUUAGUUGACCGAUAAAUUAGGAGUCCAGCUAUUUAGUUGACCGAUAAAUUAGGAUUCCAGCUAUUUAGUUGACCGAUAAAUUAGACCAAAUUUUUUCAACAGUUCUAAUAAUGUGUGUUUGGUAAUAUUUAUUGCUUAAACAAUCAAAGUUAAUCUGUAAAUACUGCAUACUUACAUUGCGUUUCCCUCGAAAUCCAUGCCGCGACUUUUUUUUUACAUAUUACUAUCAAAUAGCCUUAAACUGAUGUAACUUUCCUUGUAUAUAAUGAUAAUGCAGCAUCGAAAAAUUAUCUAAUUUUGAACUGUCACUAAAUUCAUCUUUGAUGUUCUUUUUAAUUCAGAGGUGUGUUGCAAAAGUACUGUAUAGUUUGAAGUAUUGAGAGUGAUAUAUGGUGUAUGUGUUGUUGACCUACUUAUACAAUUUGUGUGUAUUUACUUAUAUCUUUGUGUGUAUGUUUUAGAUAGAUAUAUAAUGGUCACUUUUUUACAUGCAUGAUAUGCUUUAGUAUCAUAUAUUAUAUUACUGUAAAUAUAAUGAUAAUAGAGGUGCUGUGUCACUGUAGUAGUUAAUAUUGUAGUGUGUGGAAAUGUUGUUUUAAAUGUUUUUGGAAAACAUAUAUUUACAUAUGCUUAUUUUAUUGGGAUAAAUUGUCUCCAUUCUUUUAACUCACCUAUCUACGCAAGUACCCAGAAAUCCAGUGUAAACCAUAGGAAUCUUUAGUAUUCUGACUACUGUUUCAGUUACCUCAUCUGGCGGGGUUGACCAAGUGCUAUUCAGUAGCCGAUUUUUGUGUAAGAUUUAAGUCAUAUUGAGUUUUAUGUAAAGACGAGACUUGAAAAUAUCUUCGACCUAUUACCAAUAUUAUGAUCGAGUUACCAAAAUGUUGGUAAUACACCAUUAGUAUUUUAACAUGACUCACCAGGUGUUCCCGACAAAGAGUAUUCUCGCUGGUCUUUUCUGAAUAGAGGAAUCAGACAUAUAACAGAAUGGGGGUAAAUAAACAGUUAUACAGUUUCAUGAUGUCAAAAUCAAACACAGUAAUAGCAGUAACUGUAAAGGUUAUCUUAUAAUAAAACUUGAAGGAAAUACGCUCAGUACCAAAAGGAAAUACAUUAAGUACCAACAGAUGAUAUUCACACUGUAAUUAGGACACAGUGACUUCUACUGAAGGCUGCUGUUAAUUAAUAUAAAAUGUCACUAAAUAUUGCUUCUGAUGUACAUGUAUUUUGCCAAAGAAAGAGAUUAAGAAAAGACGAAAUAGAUCAAAAUGUAUUUGUACGACAGAGAGCUCAUGGCACUGGGCAAGAAAUGUAGGCAAACUUCAUGUUGAUACGAAGACAUUAUGAUACAAAGCUUAUCAGAAUCAACUGAAGACUGUGUGCAUUCAGAGGUCGGGGCCACCAGCUCAGAUGUCAAUUUAUAUUUGCAAUGUAUAAGCCUAUAGGUUGUUUUGAUAUUUAAACUAUGUCACUUACCAAUGGCUAAUAUCACCUGGUCAUUACUUACCAAAGGCCAAGAUCACCUGGUCAUCAUCAAGAUUAAGUGGUUUAUUUGUAAAAUUUAAAUACACUCUGAAAAAAUUGUGAAGCAAUAGCAAAUUAUGAAGCAAUCAGAGUCAGAAAUGUAAUGACCUGCUUACAAUAUGUAGGUCAUGAAUGUAAUGACGUGCUUACAAUAUGUAGGUCAUGAAUGUAAUGACGUGCUUACAAUAUGUAGGUCAUGAAUGUAAUGACCUGCUCACAAUAUGUAGGUCAUGAAUGUAAUGACAUGUUUACAGUAUGUAGAUCAUAGAUGUAAUGACAUGCUUACAAUCAUUGUUUAAGAGAUUCCAUAAUAGCCUGGACAUCAAUCAUUUUUAAACCUCCAUCUAAGUAUUGUUGAAUAACAACAUCCUUUUUUUUUAUCUUAUUGUGCUGGGCUUAUCAUUCCAAAGAAAGUCAAAUAUCAUAGAAUUCAGUUGAACAAUGCAUCUUUACACUGAUCAAUAUUUUCUGAUGACAUGAUUAAACAAAGUUGUUCAGAACUAGAAAAGGAGUCAGUCUACUGACCAAACCUCAAGGUCAUCCGGUCAGAGGUCACGGUACAGGGUCAAGGUAAAAUUAUGAAAUGAUUGAAUUGAUUUUGAUGAAAUUUGGUCGAGAGUAAGAUCUAAUGCUGUAUAAACAGAAGAUGUGCGUCCCUUUUGGCCAGAGAGAGCUAGGGGGCUUGAUACGGGAAAUGUUGCAAAAAAAAAAUCUAAAUACUGUACCUUCUUCUCGUAGAAUGACAGGAUUUUGUUCAAAUUUAGUUUCAAUCAUAGAGUCAGAGAGCAAAAAAAGGUAGAAAAAGUUGUACUAUAACAAAAUAUUUUGCCAUGAUUACUGAAAUAUCCAGUUGAACAACUCUGGGCCUCUUGUUUUAGUGAUAUUUUACCUUUCUACAUUAUCUGGCUACUCAAAGCAGUUCUCUUUUUAGGUCAUCUGAAGAAGUCACAAGUGACCUAUUACGAUCGCCCUCUGUCUGACAUCGUGCCUUGUCUGUCAUGCAUCUUAAACAAUUUAUAUUUUCGACUUCUGCUCAAUAACCAAGAGGCCCAUGGUCAUGAUAUUGGGCCAGUAGUUUUCUGAGAUGAAGGGUAACAAAGUUGGUUCCAAUCAAUGACCUUGACUUACUUUGAAGGUCACAGGGGUCAAAUGUCUUAAAAUCUUUAAAUGGCUUCUUCUCAAUAACCAAGAGCCCUGGGUAAUUUACAUUCACUCUUCUGUAAACUAACCAUAGGACAUUUACCCUUUUGUAUACUUACCAUAGAACAUUUACCUAUAUAACAUUUACCCAUAGAACGUUUACCCUUCUGUAAACUUACCAUAGAACGUUUACCCUUCUGUAAACUUACCAUAGAACAUUUACUCUUUUGUAAACUUACCAUAGAACAUUUACUCUUCUGUAGACUUACCAUAGAACAUUUACUCUUCUGUAAUUUUACCAUAGAACAUUUACCCUUCUGUAAACUUACCAUAGAACAUUUACACUUCUGUAAACUUACCAUAGAACAUUUACACUUCUGUAAACUUACCAUAGAACAUUUACACUUCUGUAAACUUACCAUAGAACAUUUACUCUUUUGUAAACUUACCAUAGAACAUUUACUCUUCUGUAGACUUACCAUAGAACAUUUACUCUUCUGUAAUUUUACCAUAGAACAUUUACCCUUCUGUAAACUUACCAUAGAACAUUUACACUUCUGUAAACUUACCAUAGAACAUUUACACUUCUGUAAACUUACCAUAGAACAUUUACACUUCUGUAAACUUACCAUAGAACAUUUACUCUUCUGUAAACUUACCAUAGAACAUUUACUCUUCUGUAAACUUACCACUAAACGUUUACCCUUCUGUAGACUUACCAUAUAACAUUUACCCAUAGAGCGUUUACCCUUCUGUAAACUUACCAUAGAACAAUACCCAGAGAACAUUUACCCUUCUGUAAACUUACUAUGGAACAUUUACCCUUUUGUAAAAUCUAAAUUCCUUUGUAUUUAGUAUUUCAGAUCAAUUGUACACCAUCGAACAAUCAUCAUAGUUUGGCAUGAUUUUAAAACAAUAUGAUUGUUAAAUUCUAACAUAUAUUUAAGCUAUAAUGUAUUCUUUUUAUGACUUAUUUCCACAUGUAUUCCGUUUGGUAUUGAAAUAUUUCCUUUGUCAGUCGGGGUUGACAUGAUAUCAGGAUGUUUUAAAUGAAUAUCACUACCACUACCUCCAAAUUAUAUUGGAUCUACGGUACUCUACACAUUUCAUAGAAAACUUACGCCACAAACAUGUAUUUAAAAGACUUGAAUUAGGUAAUAAAUUGCAUAUUGUUACCAAAGACUUAUAUUUAAUAGACCAUGGACAUGAACGUCAUUUCUAAUAUAUUGUUACACAACACUUUUUUAUUCUGUUUAUUGUUUAUAGAAAUAGUUCGUCGUUAUUUCAUACUUUACAAGUCUUUUUAUUUCUGUUAUUUAUUUAAUAGAGUAUUAUCAUCAACAGUCGUAAAGCCUUUUUCAUUAAGAUAUGCAUGCUUCAUCUUAACGGACCAUGAUAUACUAAACCAUGUAUAACUUGUUGCCUUACUGAAUUAUAUAUUAUUUUCUUGGCUGUAACGUGCUAUACCGAAAGGGAUUGCACUACGCUGUUCGCAUUAAUUGAUGUAGUAUAAAAAUCCCAACUGUAUAACGUAAGACUCUGCUUGAAUAAACAGUGCCACAGUGUUUUAUAUUA